CGGUUGUCCCGGUUUAAGCAUGUAGGCUGGUUAUCCAGGCAAAUCCGGAUAAUCAAGGCUGAGGUGUGAUGACGAGGCACUACGGUGCUGAAGUAACAAAUGCCCUGCUUCCAGGAAAAGCCUCUAAGCAUCAGGUAACAUCAAAUCGUACCCCAAACCGACACAGGUGGUCAGGUAGAGAAUACCAAGGCGCUUGAGAGAACUCGGGUGAAGGA
RNAcentral lists this ribosomal RNA (215 nucleotides) under Klebsiella pneumoniae. RNAcentral's name for it is "partial 23S ribosomal RNA". It matches the Rfam family "Bacterial large subunit ribosomal RNA", at positions 1499 to 1711 of the family's 2925-position model. Lineage: Bacteria; Pseudomonadati; Pseudomonadota; Gammaproteobacteria; Enterobacterales; Enterobacteriaceae. The record is from RNAcentral.